CCUACGGGAGGCAGCAGUGGGGAAUAUUGCACAAUGGAGGAAACCCUGAUGCAGCGACGCCGCGUGAGUGAAGAAGGAAUUCGGUGUGUAAAGCUCUAUCAGCAGGGAAGAAAAUGACGUUACCUGAGUAAGAAGCCCCGGCUAACUACGUGCCAGCAGCCGCGGUAAUGCGUAGGGGGCAAGCGUUAUCCGGAUUUACUGGGUGUAAAGGGGGCGUAGACGGCAGUGCAAGUCUGGAGUGAAAGGCGGGGGCUCAACCCCCGGACUGCUCUGGAAACUGUAGGGCUGGAGUGCAGGAGAGGUAGGCGGAAUUCCUGGUGUAGCGGUGAAAUGCGUAGAUAUUAGGAGGAACACCGGUGGCGAAGGCGGCUUACUGGACUGUAACUGACGUUGAGGCUCGAAGGCGUGGGGAGCAAACAGGAUUAGAUACCCGUGUAGUC
This 440-nucleotide ribosomal RNA is filed under the name uncultured bacterium. RNAcentral's name for it is "partial 16S ribosomal RNA". It matches the Rfam family "Bacterial small subunit ribosomal RNA", at positions 338 to 795 of the family's 1533-position model. The record is from RNAcentral.